AACGUAGGAGGCGAGCGUUAUCCGGAUUUACUGGGCGUAAAGCGCACGCAGGCGGCCGAGUGAGUCGGACGUGAAAGCUCCUGGCUUAACUGGGAGAGGCCGUUCGAUACUGCUCGGCUUGAGGUUGGGAGAGGGGUGCGGAAUUCCCGGUGUAGUGGUGGAAUGCGUAGAUAUCGGGAGGAACACCAGUGGCGAAGGCGGCACCCUGGCCCACACCUGACGCUGAGGUGCGAAAGCGUGGGUAGCAAACAGG
This 253-nucleotide ribosomal RNA is filed under the name uncultured Caldilinea sp. RNAcentral describes it as "partial 16S ribosomal RNA". It matches the Rfam family "Bacterial small subunit ribosomal RNA", at positions 524 to 776 of the family's 1533-position model. The record is from RNAcentral. Lineage: Bacteria; Bacillati; Chloroflexota; Caldilineae; Caldilineales; Caldilineaceae.